This 1549-nucleotide long non-coding RNA is filed under the name Pogona vitticeps (central bearded dragon). Its description in RNAcentral is "lncRNA (ENSPVIG00000002477.1)". Lineage: Eukaryota; Metazoa; Chordata; Lepidosauria; Squamata; Agamidae. The record is from RNAcentral.
AGGAGGCUGUUGUCCGGCCGCUGACCCUCCCCCCCUCUCCCUAACCCUACCCUUGCCAAAGAUCCCUUCCUCUCUGGCAAGGGCAGGGUUAGGGAGAGAGAACCCCUUGUCUGCCCUAAUUCUCAAGAGUCCUGUUCUGUAGACUCAGUGAAUCCCCAAGACGUCGACAUCCUCCUCCUUGAGUAAUAUCCUGCUCCCCAAUUCACUGAUUGGUGUGUGUGUGUGUGUGUGUUACACUCACUUUUUCUUUCCAUUAUAAAUAACAGGUACUCCAGCAGGAGGAGGGAGUGCCCCGUCUCUCUGCUGAGAAGGAACAGCUGAAGCAGCAGGACCAGAAGAAGGACGAGCAGGUGUCCCGUCUGCAGCAAGAGGUGCAAGAGCUGAAGGCACAAGUGUCCCUACUUCUCUCCGCUGAGAAUCAAUGGCUGAAGCAACAGAGCCAAGAGAAGAACGAGGAGGAGACGUCCCGUCUGCUUCAAGAGCUGGAGGGUCAAGGGUCUCCUCUGCAGCAGGAGGUGCAGGAUCUGAAGGCACAAGUGUCCUGUCUCUCUGAUCAGAACAAAGGCCUGAAGGAGCAAGUGUCCCGUCUCUCCGCUGAGAACCAACAGCUGAAGCAACAGUUCCAAGAAAGGGACAAGCAGGUGUCCCGUCUGCUUCAAGCGGUGCAAGAGCUGGAGGGGGAAGUGUCUCACCUGCAGCAGCAAAACCAGAGGAAGGAUGAGCAGAUCUCUCAUCUGCAGCAUAAGGUGCAAAAGUUGGAGGAGCAAGUGUCUCCUCUGCAGCAGGAGGUGCAGGAGCUCAAGAAGAGUCCUGGAGCCUCUGGAGCCCAGCAAACCACCAGAUGGAUUUCACCGUUUGGAGGACCAACUCUUCCUGUCAAAGUCCAGAUCCGGAUCACUGGGAAGACAGGUGGCUCUGAGGAGAAGUUUCUAAAUUGUGUUUCAGAGCACCUGUCCCACAAAGGAGUCUCUCUGAAGGUGGAGAAGUUUAAGGAGACCUCGAAGGACCCCCUUCUGCUCUUCUGCCCCAUAGCUUCCCGCAUGGGCGCCGACAUCGAAAAUGCCCUUGAGGGGCUCAGUGGUGAGCAGAAGGUCCUCCUGGUGGUGAUGCACUUUGUUCAAAAGGACAACCCAGGGACCCCUGCGGACGCUGAGCACCAAGUGACCCAUCCGGCCGUGGUGGGGACCGUGCACACCCGCUACACCCUCAAGGACGGCUUCUACCCUUGUGAGAUGAACGAGGCGGCCGUGGCUGACGUGGCAGCUGCCCUCAAGGCCCUGGCUGAGGAUCAGUGAGGGGAGACUGGGCUCCUCCCCAUGUCCUUCUUGUGUGAUGUCAUCUUGUAGGAGAAGGGGAUGCUUUUAAGACACAGGUGGGGAUUGUCCUUGCAGACUGGGGGGUGGGGUGGGAUUUAUACACCUUCAGCUGAAGAGAAUGCUAGUAGUGAUCAGGCAGAUAUAAGACAUCCCUGUUCUUCUCGGCGUGGGCAGACCCACCUGGAGGAGCCUCAGGCUGGCUGGGCAGACCUGGCCACGUGUGCUUUUUGUGU